RNAcentral lists this long non-coding RNA (510 nucleotides) under Brachypodium distachyon (stiff brome). RNAcentral's name for it is "long non-coding RNA (BDIS_LNC005564)". Lineage: Eukaryota; Viridiplantae; Streptophyta; Magnoliopsida; Poales; Poaceae. The record is from RNAcentral.
GACGGACCUGACAGGUGGGCCUCACCUGUCAGUGUCUCAGCAUGCGCGCGUGGACCGGGCUGGCUCGGUUCAGCUCGGGCGUGGUCGGGACUGGGCCGGUUCGGCCCAUUUGGCCGGGCCGGUCUGGUUUUCCUCCUUUUUUUUCUUUUAGCCUUUUCUUUUUCCCUUUUUCUCAUUUCUUUGAUAUCUUUUGAUUUUGAACUCCAAAUUGGCCCAAAUAAAUUCCAGAAAAUUUGUAAAAUCAUGUUUUAUCAUGAUUCAACUUUUGGGAGUAAUUUCCCCUCAAAAUAAAAUAUUUAAAAAUACAUUUGCCCUAUAAAUGCCUUUAGGGCUAUAUAACUAUUUAAAUAAAAUAGUUUUUCAACUCCAAAUAUUUAUCCAAAAAUUAUGGGAUAGCUUAUUUAUGCAAUAAACCCCGUUUAUAAAUAAACCCUAUUGGUUUGAAGAUCCAAAGCUCAAAUGGGUGUAAACCCUAGGGUUUAAAUUGAAAUAAAAUCUUUUAAAAGCCUU